Molecule: ribosomal RNA, 277 nt
Filed under: uncultured Pseudomonas sp.
Lineage: Bacteria; Pseudomonadati; Pseudomonadota; Gammaproteobacteria; Pseudomonadales; Pseudomonadaceae
Description: partial 16S ribosomal RNA
Rfam family: Bacterial small subunit ribosomal RNA
Source: RNAcentral
CCUUAGUUACCAGCACGUUAUGGUGGGCACGUCUAAGGAGGACUGCCGGUGGACAAACCGGAGGAAGGUGGGGAUGACGUCAAGUCAUCAUGGCCCUUACGGCCUGGGCUACACACGUGCUACAAUGGUCGGUACAAAGGGUUGCCAAGCCGCGAGGUGGAGCUAAUCCCAUAAAACCGAUCGUAGUCCGGAUCGCAGUCUGCAACUCGACUGCGUGAAGUCGGAAUCGCUAGUAAUCGUGAAUCAGAAUGUCACGGUGAAUACGUUCCCGGGCCUU